RNAcentral lists this ribosomal RNA (253 nucleotides) under uncultured bacterium. RNAcentral describes it as "partial 16S ribosomal RNA". It matches the Rfam family "Bacterial small subunit ribosomal RNA", at positions 524 to 776 of the family's 1533-position model. The record is from RNAcentral.
UACGUAGGGGCCGAGCGUUGUCCGGAGUUAUUGGGCGUAAAGCGCGCGCAGGCGGCUGAUCAAGCCCGACGUGAAAGCCCCCGGCUUAACCGGGGAGGGUCGUAGGGGACUGGUUGGCUUGAGGGCGGGAGAGGUCGGUGGAAUUCCCGGUGUAGUGGUGAAAUGCGUAGAGAUCGGGAGGAACACCUGUGGCGAAGGCGGCCGACUGGGCCGACCCUGACGCUGAGGCGCGAAGGCGUGGGGAGCGAACGGG